AUGGGUGUUCGGACAGAAUCAGUCUUUAAAAAAACUGUUGCAGCUGGUUCAGACGAUGUUAGAGAACAUGAGGAGGAAAACCAUCAACAAAAAAGAAACAGGCAAAAGACUGAAGCCCCAACAAUAGCUGUUAGAUCUGCUCUAAACAGCCUGAAAAAGAAUGCCCAGAGGGACUCAGAACCAGCGCUCUCUGAAAUGUCAGACUCAACCAGCCCAUUGUCCCCUGGCACCUAUCUAAUGGUGGCAACGUCUGUGAGGGAAUUUGUCUCUUCCAUGCAUCAGAUGGUGGCCCGCGAGGGCUCCUCGGAGAAUAGAAGUUUGAGAAUUGUGGGCUGUUGCUGGAAACCCGUUCCUCGCCGCCGUUUGCACGCCUGGGCCGGGGUAACCGCCUACGGGAGACGCCAGGAGGGAAGAGAUUUCCACCUUAGACUGUUGCUGCCCAAAGAUUUACAGCUGAGGAACGCCAGAUUACUAUGUAGUUGGCAGCUGAAAGCAGUACUUAAUGGAUAUCAUCACAUAGUACAACAGAGAAUGCAGCAGUCUCCUGAUCUAGUGAGUUUUAUGAUGGAGUUGAAGAUGCUUUUGGAAGUUGCUUUAAAGAAUAAAAAAGAACCAUAUGUACUACCUCCUUCUCCCAAGUUCUACUCAAGCCUUAUUGGAGAAAUAAGAGCUCUUGGUUGGGAUAAGCUUGUGUAUGUGGAUCCUUGCUUUAGUACCAUCAAGUUAAAAGCAGAUGUUUCUGGUAGAGAGCAUCUAAUCACUGUCAAGUUGAAGGCGAAGUACCCUGCAGAAUCACCAGAUUGUGUUGUGGAUUUUCCAGUUCCAUUUUCUGUUUCCUGGACACCACAGAGCUCCUUAAUAAGCAUUUAUAGUCAGUUUUUGGCAGCAUUGGAAUCACUGAAGACAUUCUGGGAUGUUAUGGAUGAAAUUGAUGAGAAGACUUGGGUACUUGAGCCAGAAAAACCUACACGGAGUGCUACAGCACGCAGAAUUGUAUUAGGGAAUAACAUUUCAAUAAAUAUAGAGGUAGACCCCAGGCAUCCCACUAUGCUUCCUGAGUGCUGUUUUCUUGGAGCUGACCAUGUGGUAAAACCUCUGGGAAUUAGGCUGAGCAGAAACAUACAUUUGUGGGAUCCAGAAAACAGUCUGUUACAAAAUUUGAAAGAUGUUUUAGAAAUUGACUUUCCAGCUCGUGCUAUCCUGGAAAAAUCUGAUUUUUCUAUGGAUUGUGGGAUUUGUUAUGCCUAUCAACUUGAUGGUGCCAUUCCUGAUCAAGUGUGUGAUAAUUCACAGUGUGGCCAAUCUUUCCAUUAUAUAUGCUUAUAUGAGUGGUUGAGAGGACUACUGACUAGUAGACAGAGUUUUAACAUCAUGUUUGGUGAAUGUCUGUAUUGUAGUAAGCCAAUUACCUUGAAAAUGUCUGGGAGAAAAGCCUGAAAUAAGAAUGCAGCAUUCCUGUGAAGAGCUAGAAACUUAAAUUAUGAAAAGGAUUUUAUUUGAUAACUUCAGAGAAAAUAUAAAGCAAGACA
RNA transcript from Capra hircus (goat), 1529 nucleotides. It is a transcript of the gene named E3 ubiquitin-protein ligase FANCL pseudogene, with no coding region annotated. NCBI's taxonomy places the organism in Eukaryota, Metazoa, Chordata, Mammalia, Artiodactyla, Bovidae. The record is from RefSeq and is a predicted model, not a curated record. The transcript has 3 exons.